This 1076-nucleotide long non-coding RNA is filed under the name Homo sapiens (human). RNAcentral describes it as "HSALNT0131986". Lineage: Eukaryota; Metazoa; Chordata; Mammalia; Primates; Hominidae. The record is from RNAcentral.
CUCUGAGCUCAGCUACCUCUCAGGUCCCAUUAUUCUAGAAAGCAGAAAUGUGAGAUUUUACUCCUCUUCAUUUUAAGAAGAAAAAAAGGAAGUCUGUUAAAGUAAGGGGAGAAAAGACCCUGAUACAACUUCCACCAAAUAUAAAACAGACAUAGCCCUAAAUUGUGGUAUAAAUCGGGUAUCUAUUUUGAGUUCAAGUUCUCCUUUAGCAUACUUUUAAAUUCAGGGUGUUACAGUUUAUUGAAUUUAACAUUAAAAUGGACUCACGUGGGAAAUGGAGUCAAUAUUUUAUACAUUGAAUUUUGCGUUACGUUUCAAAAGUGAAUGUAAAUAUACAGGUGUAAAACCAGCUGGAUGGCACACAGGCACUCCGCUGCGAGUGCACGGCCCACCCUGCCCGAAUGCAGAGAAACACUAGAAGCUCUUGAGCCAGCAGAGAGAAAACCCAGAGAGUCUGAGUGGAAUCUGUUAGCCGUGCAAAUGUUACACAAUGCACAUUUGCUAUGACACAAAUCUAAGACUAAAGGGGGAAAACGGCAGAAAUUUUAGAAGACUCAUGGGCUCUCCUGAAUAAAAAUCCUGCUGAACUAGUGACCGGCUGAGCGUGGAUUGUCGGGUGAGCCGCCCUCUGGGUCCUGAAGGGCCCUUGGUGUCUCUUUACAGAGAAGCAACCCCGACAUUGGUGGAGGCAAGCGCUCGUGGCAGAUGAACCUGCAGAUGAGGCUGGGCACUGCCCAGCUUAUGAGGACAAAUGGCUCUUUUUAUAUUCCAGCAACCACGGAACUCUCUGGAGUGCCCAGGGCUGUUUUAGGACAUCCUAAACUGCUACUUUCAUGCCAAGUUUGGAGGACUGUCUUCUGAAAUAUCUUUUAUAAAAACAAAUUUAAUGCAAAAGCACGUAAGUCUACAUGAAACCCUCCCAGCACGGGUUUUCCAGCCAAAUGGUAGGGGCAUACAUAGAAAAAUGAAACAUUUGUGGUUGUGUUUUCAAGGCAGAAAAGAUGCUGAAGGGAAAAGUCUAUGUUCGAAACAUAAUCCCAGAAUAAAAAGCUCCAAGAAAUGCAGUUUUGAGGAAG